ACGAACGCUGGCGGCGUGCUUCACACAUGCAAGUCGAACGGAAAGGCCCUGCUUUUGUGGGGUGCUCGAGUGGCGAACGGGUGAGUAACACGUGAGUAACCUGCCCUUGACUUUGGGAUAACUUCAGGAAACUGGGGCUAAUACCGGAUAGGAGCUCCUGCUGCAUGGUGGGGGUUGGAAAGUUUCGGCGGUUGGGGAUGGACUCGCGGCUUAUCAGCUUGUUGGUGGGGUAGUGGCUUACCAAGGCUUUGACGGGUAGCCGGCCUGAGAGGGUGACCGGCCACAUUGGGACUGAGAGACGGCCCAGACUCCUACGGGAGGCAGCAGUGGGGAAUAUUGCACAAUGGGUGGAAGCCUGAUGCAGCAACGCCGUGUGCGGGAUGACGGCCUUCGGGUUGUAAACCGCUUUCGCUCAUGACGAAGCUUUGUGUGACGGUAGUGGGUAAAGAAGCACCGGCUAACUACGUG
RNAcentral lists this ribosomal RNA (468 nucleotides) under uncultured bacterium. RNAcentral describes it as "partial 16S ribosomal RNA". It matches the Rfam family "Bacterial small subunit ribosomal RNA", at positions 29 to 507 of the family's 1533-position model. The record is from RNAcentral.